This 468-nucleotide ribosomal RNA is filed under the name uncultured bacterium. Its description in RNAcentral is "bacterial SSU rRNA". It matches the Rfam family "Bacterial small subunit ribosomal RNA", at positions 335 to 802 of the family's 1533-position model. The record is from RNAcentral.
ACUCCUACGGGAGGCAGCAGUAGGGAAUAUUGGUCAAUGGGCGAGAGCCUGAACCAGCCAUGCCGCGUGCAGGAAGACGGCCUUCUGGGUUGUAAACUGCUUUUAUACGGGAAGAAAAUGCCCUUGCGAGGGAAAUUGCCGGUACCGUAUGAAUAAGCACCGGCUAACUCCGUGCCAGCAGCCGCGGUAAUACGGAGGGUGCAAGCGUUGUCCGGAUUUAUUGGGUUUAAAGGGUGCGUAGGCGGGUCUUUAAGUCAGUGGUGAAAGCCUGCAGCUCAACUGUAGAACUGCCAUUGAUACUGGAGGCCUUGAGUGUACUAGAGGUAGGCGGAAUUUAUGGUGUAGCGGUGAAAUGCAUAGAUACCAUAAAGAACACCGAUAGCGUAGGCAGCUUACUGGAGUACAACUGACGCUGAGGCACGAAAGCAUGGGUAGCGAACAGGAUUAGAUACCCUGGUAGGAUAGCGU